RNAcentral lists this unclassified non-coding RNA (433 nucleotides) under soil metagenome. RNAcentral's name for it is "partial contains 5.8S ribosomal RNA, internal transcribed spacer 2, and large subunit ribosomal RNA". The stretch from base 1 to 120 matches the Rfam family "5.8S ribosomal RNA", at positions 35 to 154 of the family's 154-position model. The record is from RNAcentral.
GAUGAAGAACGCAGCGAAAUGCGAUACGUAAUGUGAAUUGCAGAAUUCAGUGAAUCAUCGAAUCUUUGAACGCAUAUUGCGCUCUCUGGUAUUCCGGAGAGCAUGCUUGUUUGAGUAUCAGUAAACACCUCAACUUCCAUAUCUUUUUUGAAAUGGGAGUUGGACUUGAGUGAUCCCAACGCUUUUCCUCACCGAAAAGUGGCGGGUUACUUGAAAUGCAGGUGCAGCUGGACUUUUCUCUGAGCUAAAAGCAUAUCUAUUUAGUCUGCCUAAAAAACAGGUUAUUACCUUUGCUGCAGCUAACAUAAAGGAGAUUAGUUCUUGUGCUGACUGAUGCAGGAUUCACAAAGACAGGCUUCGGCCGACUUUGUAAACUCGAUCUCAGAUCAAGUAAGACUACCCGCUGAACUUAAGCAUAUCAAUAAGCGGAGGA